Molecule: long non-coding RNA, 723 nt
Organism: Rhagoletis pomonella (apple maggot)
Lineage: Eukaryota; Metazoa; Arthropoda; Insecta; Diptera; Tephritidae
Exons: 3
Source: RefSeq, a predicted model, not a curated record
ACACAGUAUCAAAUCGGCUUCAAAAUAUUAUAAAUUAUACACAACGCUGUGCUUAACGAAUAGCCCACAGAGUGCCAGUUCACUAAACAAAUCAGGUAGCACUAAAUAUCUUAUCCGUUUACUGUACCAUACCACACGAAGGCCAAACACACACUAAAACUUGCUUGGGAAACAUCUGAAUUACCAACCAAAUGGUGAACCAGCAAAGAGACAAGUAGCCGGCCGACAAGCCCAACACCAAAAGUACCAAGCAACGGCGGCGGCAACGACCAAGAAACCACGAAACUCAGCAGCGGUUAGUCAGCCAGCCAGCCAGCCAGCCAAGUCAAGUCAAGACGAAACGAAAAAACGGGCUACAAGGCGCGCGAAAACAAAAACAAAAUUGUGCUAUGCAGACACACACAUACACGCGUAUAUGGACAUAUGUCAGCAAGUAUGUGUCUGUUGAUUUACUUAUGGGUUUGUGUGUGUGCAAAGGCACUCUUCUGUUUUCCUACUUUGCUUUCGCCUUCGUCUUUUCGCCUUUCGACUUUAACGAGUGCGAGUUUGAAGGGUUAACUUACGAUGUCUGCCACUCUCCUGGAAGCAGAACGGCACUCUUAAGCAAGGAUCAUACGAUUUGUAUAUUUUAGCAGUAGCACAGUGUGGUAUUACCGAGUCGUAAGGCGCGGACGCGGGCCGCCACGAAGCUACGCAAAUUUAAUGUUUGAAAGAGCAAUAAUG